Molecule: ribosomal RNA, 2332 nt
Filed under: Salmonella enterica subsp. enterica serovar Typhimurium
Lineage: Bacteria; Pseudomonadati; Pseudomonadota; Gammaproteobacteria; Enterobacterales; Enterobacteriaceae
Description: bacterial LSU rRNA
Rfam family: Bacterial large subunit ribosomal RNA
Source: RNAcentral
ACCCUUCGGGGUGUGACUGCGUACCUUUUGUAUAAUGGGUCAGCGACUUAUAUUCUGUAGCAAGGUUAACCGUAUAGGGGAGCCGGAGGGAAACCGAGUCUUAACCGGGCGUUAAGUUGCAGGGUAUAGACCCGAAACCCGGUGAUCUAGCCAUGGGCAGGUUGAAGGUUGGGUAACACUAACUGGAGGACCGAACCGACUAAUGUUGAAAAAUUAGCGGAUGACCUGUGGCUGGGGGUGAAAGGCCAAUCAAACCGGGAGAUAGCUGGUUCUCCCCGAAAGCUAUUUAGGUAGCGCCUCGUGAAUUCAUCUCCGGGGGUAGAGCACUGUUUCGGCUAGGGGGCCAUCCCGGCUUACCAACCCGAUGCAAACUGCGAAUACCGGAGAAUGUUAUCACGGGAGACACACGGCGGGUGCUAACGUCCGUCGUGAAGAGGGAAACAACCCAGACCGCCAGCUAAGGUCCCAAAGUCAUGGUUAAGUGGGAAACGAUGUGGGAAGGCCCAGACAGCCAGGAUGUUGGCUUAGAAGCAGCCAUCAUUUAAAGAAAGCGUAAUAGCUCACUGGUCGAGUCGGCCUGCGCGGAAGAUGUAACGGGGCUAAACCAUGCACCGAAGCUGCGGCAGCGAACGUAUCACCCAAGACAACUUUACGGAGUUGACGAUUGACGGAGCGAAGCGACGUCAAAGCGUUCAUUAAAGUCGAGUUGGCUUAGGGAUACGUUCGUUGGGUAGGGGAGCGUUCUGUAAGCCUGUGAAGGUGUGUCGUGAGGCAUGCUGGAGGUAUCAGAAGUGCGAAUGCUGACAUAAGUAACGAUAAAGCGGGUGAAAAGCCCGCUCGCCGGAAGACCAAGGGUUCCUGUCCAACGUUAAUCGGGGCAGGGUGAGUCGACCCCUAAGGCGAGGCCGAAAGGCGUAGUCGAUGGGAAACGGGUUAAUAUUCCCGUACUUGGUGUUACUGCGAAGGGGGGACGGAGAAGGCUAUGUUGGCCGGGCGACGGUUGUCCCGGUUUAAGCGUGUAGGUGUGUGUUCCAGGUAAAUCCGGUUCACUUUAACACUGAGGCGUGACGACGAGGCACUACGGUGCUGAAGCAACAAAUGCCCUGCUUCCAGGAAAAGCCUCUAAGCAUCAGGUAACACGAAAUCGUACCCCAAACCGACACAGGUGGUCAGGUAGAGAAUACCAAGGCGCUUGAGAGAACUCGGGUGAAGGAACUAGGCAAAAUGGUGCCGUAACUUCGGGAGAAGGCACGCUGACACGUAGGUGAAGUGAUUUACUCAUGGAGCUGAAGUCAGUCGAAGAUACCAGCUGGCUGCAACUGUUUAUUAAAAACACAGCACUGUGCAAACACGAAAGUGGACGUAUACGGUGUGACGCCUGCCCGGUGCCGGAAGGUUAAUUGAUGGGGUCAGCGUAAGCGAAGCUCCUGAUCGAAGCCCCGGUAAACGGCGGCCGUAACUAUAACGGUCCUAAGGUAGCGAAAUUCCUUGUCGGGUAAGUUCCGACCUGCACGAAUGGCGUAAUGAUGGCCAGGCUGUCUCCACCCGAGACUCAGUGAAAUUGAACUCGCUGUGAAGAUGCAGUGUACCCGCGGCAAGACGGAAAGACCCCGUGAACCUUUACUAUAGCUUGACACUGAACAUUGAGCCUUGAUGUGUAGGAUAGGUGGGAGGCUUUGAAGUGUGGACGCCAGUCUGCAUGGAGCCGACCUUGAAAUACCACCCUUUAAUGUUUGAUGUUCUAACGUGGACCCGUAAUCCGGGUUGCGGACAGUGUCUGGUGGGUAGUUUGACUGGGGCGGUCUCCUCCUAAAGAGUAACGGAGGAGCACGAAGGUUGGCUAAUCCUGGUCGGACAUCAGGAGGUUAGUGCAAUGGCAUAAGCCAGCUUGACUGCGAGCGUGACGGCGCGAGCAGGUGCGAAAGCAGGUCAUAGUGAUCCGGUGGUUCUGAAUGGAAGGGCCAUCGCUCAACGGAUAAAAGGUACUCCGGGGAUAACAGGCUGAUACCGCCCAAGAGUUCAUAUCGACGGCGGUGUUUGGCACCUCGAUGUCGGCUCAUCACAUCCUGGGGCUGAAGUAGGUCCCAAGGGUAUGGCUGUUCGCCAUUUAAAGUGGUACGCGAGCUGGGUUUAGAACGUCGUGAGACAGUUCGGUCCCUAUCUGCCGUGGGCGCUGGAGAACUGAGGGGGGCUGCUCCUAGUACGAGAGGACCGGAGUGGACGCAUCACUGGUGUUCGGGUUGUCAUGCCAAUGGCACUGCCCGGUAGCUAAAUGCGGAAGAGAUAAGUGCUGAAAGCAUCUAAGCACGAAACUUGCCCCGAGAUGAGUUCU